UACGGAGGGGGCUAGCGUUGUUCGGAAUUACUGGGCGUAAAGCGCACGUAGGCGGCUUUGUAAGUUAGAGGUGAAAGCCCGGGGCUCAACUCCGGAAUUGCCUUUAAGACUGCAUCGCUAGAAUUGUGGAGAGGUAAGUGGAAUUCCGAGUGUAGAGGUGAAAUUCGUAGAUAUUCGGAAGAACACCAGUGGCGAAGGCGACUUACUGGAC
Molecule: ribosomal RNA, 211 nt
Filed under: uncultured bacterium
Lineage: Bacteria
Description: partial 16S ribosomal RNA
Rfam family: Bacterial small subunit ribosomal RNA
Source: RNAcentral